UGCCGGAUAGGGUAAUUGGCAGCCCGCCUGGUUCUGGUCCAGGUAGUCUAGGUUCGAGUCCUAGUCCGGCAG
RNAcentral lists this transfer RNA (72 nucleotides) under Chloroflexota bacterium. Its description in RNAcentral is "tRNA-Gln". It matches the Rfam family "tRNA". From Rfam's summary of the family: Transfer RNA (tRNA) molecules are approximately 80 nucleotides in length. Their secondary structure includes four short double-helical elements and three loops (D, anti-codon, and T loops). The record is from RNAcentral. Lineage: Bacteria; Bacillati; Chloroflexota. RNAcentral also lists the same sequence under 1 other name.